RNAcentral lists this long non-coding RNA (288 nucleotides) under Capsella grandiflora. RNAcentral describes it as "long non-coding RNA (CGRA_LNC000066)". The record is from RNAcentral. Lineage: Eukaryota; Viridiplantae; Streptophyta; Magnoliopsida; Brassicales; Brassicaceae.
GGAAUCUUGAUUAAUUAAAUCGAAAUAUAAUUAUCACAAAUUUUGCUCCUUUUUAUACAUGUCUUCCAUUUCUCCUUCACCUUCACAAUUCUCUCAUUAUCUCAUAAUCUCUCUCUCUCUCUCACUCUAAAACCUCAAGAAGAAGAAGCAUUCUACAAGAAGAAACAGAGAGAAAAGGAGAUAUGGGUUCCAAGAUCGUCCAAGUUUUCUUGAUGUUGGCUCUAUUCGCCACUUCAGCUCUUGCUCAAGCCCCUGCUCCUACUCCCACCGCAACUCCUCCACCCCNNN